Molecule: long non-coding RNA, 1359 nt
Organism: Equus caballus (horse)
Lineage: Eukaryota; Metazoa; Chordata; Mammalia; Perissodactyla; Equidae
Source: Ensembl
AAAAUGGGCUGGAGCUGGGUUCUGGUCUUGGACACCGGCAGGUUCUCCCUCCCCCUUGGCCCUCCCCCAGGUCUCUCGGGACAAAUGCUGGACCCAGAAGCCCAGUUCCCGGACCUGGGAGAGGAUGUCUCCUUCUCCAGGCCCCACCCCUCGCCGCCCUGUGGUCCUCAGUCUGGAUAGACCCUCAGCCUGGGACCUUCAGCCUGGGUGGACUCUCAGCCUGGAUGGACCCUCAGCCUGGAUGGACCCUCAGCCUGGGACCCUCAGCCUGGGUGGACCCUCAGCCUGGGUGGACCCUCAGCCUGGGUGGACUCUCAGCCUAUGAUCUUCUGGAGGAGCUCCAGGGGCCCCAGCAAGAUGCUUGGCUUCCAUGACACGUGCUCCGAAGUCCCUGGUGAUGGGGCCUGCUCCAGAGAGAGAUGACAAUUUGGCUCAGAGAGUUGAGAGGACUCUGCCCAGGAUCACACCCCUGGCUCCCUCCAGGAACGGCAGGUCACAGUGAGGAGUCCAGCAUGUGGGAGAAUCUCCAACCAGACGGGUGCCUCUGCUGUGUUGGGAGAUUUAUGUCAUCCAAUAGUCACUCAACAAACACCCCAGGCAUGAAGCAGAGAGUCUGUGUCAUGGCAGGAAAGGGGUAGUCUUUGCCCAGAGACUGCUGUCACCAGGAAGCCUGACCUUUCCUUAGGACAGCAGGAGGUGGGAACUCAGUGUCUUUCAGGCCUCUGUGACCAAGCAGACCUGCUCCCCUGGGCUGGCCUGAGGGUGGCUGUGGAGGGGUGGGGCCCGGCGCUGGUGGACCCAGGACCUCGUGAGGGGCAGGUGGGAAGCAGAGUGCUGGAUUCUGAGCCCAGGGGCAGCCCGGGCAGGACAGGUCAGGAGGAGAGGGGCUGCUCAGGCUUCCUGGGGGGCUGGUUCUCCAGCUCUUUGCAGACCAGCAGGAACCCUCACGACCACCAAGAAAGUGUGCUGCUCUCUGAGGCGGGAGCCUGGGGAGGGCAGGGGCUGAUCCAGCCCGCUUACCACGCUCCCCUGCACCUGUCGCUAGGCUGUCCCAGUAAAUACGCGCUCAGUGAAGAUGUGGGGAGGAGAUUUGUGUCCCGUGUCCCCAAAUUCCCCCCAGAGCCCAAGAUCCAGAGAGGCCUUUUCUCUGUCCCUUGCCCCCGGUGGGGGACCUGCUGAGAGCAGAGCCAGAAGCAACGGGCUGGAGGCCUCACAGGUAGCCUAGAGCUGCCCCUGCGGUGGGGAACCGGCCCGGGGCGCUGGGGUGGGAGGAACAUGGCGGGGAUGGUGAUGGGCUGGGGGCCCGAGGGGGCUGGAGGGGGUCGCCUGCAGGAAACCUGGUGGAGGUCAGAGGAGGAG